GCGGGAGUUGCAUAGUGGUAGUGCUCCAGCCUUCCAAGCUGGAAGCGGGGGUUCGAUUCCCCUCUCCCGCU
Molecule: transfer RNA, 71 nt
Filed under: bacterium
Lineage: Bacteria
Also listed under: 1 other name
Description: tRNA-Gly
Rfam family: tRNA
About the family: Transfer RNA (tRNA) molecules are approximately 80 nucleotides in length. Their secondary structure includes four short double-helical elements and three loops (D, anti-codon, and T loops). Further hydrogen bonds mediate the characteristic L-shaped molecular structure. tRNAs have two regions of fundamental functional importance: the anti-codon, which is responsible for specific mRNA codon recognition, and the 3' end, to which the tRNAs corresponding amino acid is attached (by aminoacyl-tRNA synthetases). tRNAs cope with the degeneracy of the genetic code in two manners: having more than one tRNA (with a specific anti-codon) for a particular amino acid; and 'wobble' base-pairing, i.e. permitting non-standard base-pairing at the 3rd anti-codon position.
Source: RNAcentral